UCAUUCAGCGAGAUCAACCCGGGAAAAAUCGGUUGCGUAUUAUGUGGAGAAGAAUUCAUAGCAACAUUUUUCCGGGUGGUAAGGAUGCGAUGGAAUUCGGGCUAGGCUGAUAAUUUUAGAUAUUGCUUCCUCGAGAGUUCGUUAAAAAGUGGGUCAGGUCUGCCCCAAAGACAAGGCCCUUUGUCUAUUGAGUUGGUCCACGUGAUACGUUGUUUAGAUUAUAAACAGCUCGAGUGAUUAGUUAUUCCCUGCGUCCUGUGACAACAGGUCAUCAAUCAAAAAUAUUAUCAACAGUUGUAAAAAGUUUUGGUGUGCGGGGUGAUUGGGAAAAUUCACUGAUCAAAUUAUUUGACGAUUACCUAUCACAAUAGCACACCUCAAAACGUUACAGGAGGUGCUGAUGGAAUCGGUAUUCGAAGACCUGUAGCUCCAUUAUAUGGGAUUGAAGAACUUUCCGAUCUGGAUCCAAUGACAAUAUCAUACUCCCUCGCCAAUCGACUGGGACUAUCAAUCAUGAUCAUAAUUAUUGUCACGC
Fopius arisanus is the source of this 535-nucleotide long non-coding RNA. RefSeq lists it as uncharacterized. Lineage: Eukaryota; Metazoa; Arthropoda; Insecta; Hymenoptera; Braconidae. The record is from RefSeq and is a predicted model, not a curated record. The transcript has 3 exons.